AAAUUGAAGAGUUUGAUCAUGGCUCAGAUUGAACGCUGGCGGCAGGCCUAACACAUGCAAGUCGAACGGUAACAGGAAACAGCUUGCUGUUUCGCUGACGAGUGGCGGACGGGUGAGUAAUGUCUGGGAAACUGCCUGAUGGAGGGGGAUAACUACUGGAAACGGUAGCUAAUACCGCAUAACGUCGCAAGACCAAAGAGGGGGACCUUCGGGCCUCUUGCCAUCGGAUGUGCCCAGAUGGGAUUAGCUAGUAGGUGGGGUAACGGCUCACCUAGGCGACGAUCCCUAGCUGGUCUGAGAGGAUGACCAGCCACACUGGAACUGAGACACGGUCCAGACUCCU
This 343-nucleotide ribosomal RNA is filed under the name Escherichia coli. RNAcentral describes it as "bacterial SSU rRNA". It matches the Rfam family "Bacterial small subunit ribosomal RNA", at positions 1 to 340 of the family's 1533-position model. Lineage: Bacteria; Pseudomonadati; Pseudomonadota; Gammaproteobacteria; Enterobacterales; Enterobacteriaceae. The record is from RNAcentral.